AGCGUACACGGUGGAUGCCCUGGCAGUCAGAGGCGAUGAAGGACGUGCUAAUCUGCGAAAAGCGUCGGUAAGGUGAUAUGAACCGUUAUAACCGGCGAUGUCCGAAUGGGGAAACCCAGUGUGAUUCGUCACACUAUCGUUAACUGAAUACAUAGGUUAACGAGGCGAACCGGGGGAACUGAAACAUCUAAGUACCCCGAGGAAAAGAAAUCAACCGAGAUUCCCCCAGUAGCGGCGAGCGAACGGGGAGCAGCCCAGAGUCUGAAUCAGCUUGUGUGUUAGUGGAACGGUCUGGAAAGUCCGACGGUACAGGGUGAUAGUCCCGUACACCAAAAUGCACAGGCUGUGAACUCGAAGAGUAGGGCGGGACACGUGGUAUCCUGUCUGAAUAUGGGGGGACCAUCCUCCAAGGCUAAAUACUCCUGACUGACCGAUAGUGAACCAGUACCGUGAGGGAAAGGCGAAAAGAACCCCGGCGAGGGGAGUGAAAAAGAACCUGAAACCGUGUACGUACAAGCAGUGGGAGCACCUUCGGGUGUGACUGCGUACCUUUUGUAUAAUGGGUCAGCGACUUAUAUUCUGUAGCAAGGUUAACCGUAUAGGGGAGCCGCAGGGAAACCGAGUCUUAACUGGGCGUUAAGUUGCAGGGUAUAGACCCGAAACCCGGUGAUCUAGCCAUGGGCAGGUUGAAGGUUGGGUAACACUAACUGGAGGACCGAACCGACUAAUGUUGAAAAAUUAGCGGAUGACUUGUGGCUGGGGGUGAAAGGCCAAUCAAACCGGGAGAUAGCUGGUUCUCCCCGAAAGCUAUUUAGGUAGCGCCUCGUGAAUUCAUCUUCGGGGGUAGAGCACUGUUUCGGCUAGGGGGUCAUCCCGACUUACCAACCCGAUGCAAACUACGAAUACCGAAGAAUGUUAUCACGGGAGACACACGGCGGGUGCUAACGUCCGUCGUGAAGAGGGAAACAACCCAGACCGCCAGCUAAGGUCCCAAAGUCAUGGUUAAGUGGGAAACGAUGUGGGAAGGCACAGACAGCCAGGAUGUUGGCUUAGAAGCAGCCAUCAUUUAAAGAAAGCGUAAUAGCUCACUGGUCGAGUCGGCCUGCGCGGAAGAUGUAACGGGGCUAAACCAUGCACCGAAGCUGCGGCAGCGACACUAUGUGUUGUUGGGUAGGGGAGCGUUCUGUAAGCCUGCGAAGGUGACCUGUGAGGGUUGCUGGAGGUAUCAGAAGUGCGAAUGCUGACAUAAGUAACGAUAAAGCGGGUGAAAAGCCCGCUCGCCGGAAGACCAAGGGUUCCUGUCCAACGUUAAUCGGGGCAGGGUGAGUCGACCCCUAAGGCGAGGCCGAAAGGCGUAGUCGAUGGGAAACAGGUUAAUAUUCCUGUACUUGGUGUUACUGCGAAGGGGGGACGGAGAAGGCUAUGUUAGCCGGGCGACGGUUGUCCCGGUUUAAGCAUGUAGGCUGGUUGUCCAGGCAAAUCCGGAUAAUCAAGGCUGAGGUGUGAUGACGAGGCACUACGGUGCUGAAGUAACAAAUGCCCUGCUUCCAGGAAAAGCCUCUAAGCAUCAGGUAACAUCAAAUCGUACCCCAAACCGACACAGGUGGUCAGGUAGAGAAUACCAAGGCGCUUGAGAGAACUCGGGUGAAGGAACUAGGCAAAAUGGUGCCGUAACUUCGGGAGAAGGCACGCUGGUGUGUAGGUGAAGUCCCUGCGGAUGGAGCUGAGACCAGUCGAAGAUACCAGCUGGCUGCAACUGUUUAUUAAAAACACAGCACUGUGCAAACACGAAAGUGGACGUAUACGGUGUGACGCCUGCCCGGUGCCGGAAGGUUAAUUGAUGGGGUUAUCCGUAAGGAGAAGCUCUUGAUCGAAGCCCCGGUAAACGGCGGCCGUAACUAUAACGGUCCUAAGGUAGCGAAAUUCCUUGUCGGGUAAGUUCCGACCUGCACGAAUGGCGUAAUGAUGGCCAGGCUGUCUCCACCCGAGACUCAGUGAAAUUGAACUCGCUGUGAAGAUGCAGUGUACCCGCGGCAAGACGGAAAGACCCCGUGAACCUUUACUAUAGCUUGACACUGAACAUUGAGCCUUGAUGUGUAGGAUAGGUGGGAGGCUUUGAAGCGUGGACGCCAGUCUGCGUGGAGCCAACCUUGAAAUACCACCCUUUAAUGUUUGAUGUUCUAACGUUGGCCCCUUAUCGGGGUUGCGGACAGUGUCUGGUGGGUAGUUUGACUGGGGCGGUCUCCUCCCAAAGCGUAACGGAGGAGCACGAAGGUUAGCUAAUCCUGGUCGGACAUCAGGAGGUUAGUGCAAUGGCAUAAGCUAGCUUGACUGCGAGCGUGACGGCGCGAGCAGGUGCGAAAGCAGGUCAUAGUGAUCCGGUGGUUCUGAAUGGAAGGGCCAUCGCUCAACGGAUAAAAGGUACUCCGGGGAUAACAGGCUGAUACCGCCCAAGAGUUCAUAUCGACGGCGGUGUUUGGCACCUCGAUGUCGGCUCAUCACAUCCUGGGGCUGAAGUAGGUCCCAAGGGUAUGGCUGUUCGCCAUUUAAAGUGGUACGCGAGCUGGGUUUAGAACGUCGUGAGACAGUUCGGUCCCUAUCUGCCGUGGGCGCUGGAGAAUUGAGGGGGGCUGCUCCUAGUACGAGAGGACCGGAGUGGACGCAUCACUGGUGUUCGGGUUGUCAUGCCAAUGGCACUGCCCGGUAGCUAAAUGCGGAAGAGAUAAGUGCUGAAAGCAUCUAAGCACGAAACUUGCCCCGAGAUGAGUUCU
Molecule: ribosomal RNA, 2771 nt
Filed under: Klebsiella pneumoniae subsp. ozaenae
Lineage: Bacteria; Pseudomonadati; Pseudomonadota; Gammaproteobacteria; Enterobacterales; Enterobacteriaceae
Description: bacterial LSU rRNA
Rfam family: Bacterial large subunit ribosomal RNA
Source: RNAcentral